GACGAACGCUGGCGGCGUGCUUAACACAUGCAAGUCGAACGGAAAGGCCCUGCUUUUGUGGGGUGCUCGAGUGGCGAACGGGUGAGUAACACGUGAGUAACCUGCCCUUGACUUUGGGAUAACUUCAGGAAACUGGGGCUAAUACCGGAUAGGAGCUCCUGCUGCAUGGUGGGGGUUGGAAAGUUUCGGCGGUUGGGGAUGGACUCGCGGCUUAUCAGCUUGUUGGUGGGGUAGUGGCUUACCAAGGCUUUGACGGGUAGCCGGCCUGAGAGGGUGACCGGCCACAUUGGGACUGAGAUACGGCCCAGAGUCCUACGGGAGGCAGCAGUGGGGAAUAGUGCACAAUGGGCGGAAGCCUGAUGCAGCAACGCCGCGUGCGGGAUGACGGCCUUCGGGUUGUAAACCGCUUUCGCCUGUGACGAAGCGUGAGUGACGGUAAUGGGUAAAGAAGCACCGGCUAACUACGUG
Molecule: ribosomal RNA, 468 nt
Filed under: uncultured bacterium
Lineage: Bacteria
Description: partial 16S ribosomal RNA
Rfam family: Bacterial small subunit ribosomal RNA
Source: RNAcentral